Molecule: long non-coding RNA, 749 nt
Organism: Esox lucius (northern pike)
Lineage: Eukaryota; Metazoa; Chordata; Actinopteri; Esociformes; Esocidae
Source: Ensembl
CGGCCAACAAGGAGACAGAUUUAUAGAAUUUUGCUUGGUUCUUUGGAGCACGGCUGACGACGUGAGGCAGGCAGCGCUCAGAGCAGUGAGAUAAUUGUCAGCGGAAUGUGCUCAGUACUGGGUUAGGGGGCUGCCAUGGGAGUCACUACGUGGAUCAGUCAAAAUAUAUCACUGCAGGCAGUCAGGCAGGCAGGAAGUCAGUCAGGCAGGCACAGCGCUGAGGAGAAAUGCCACAGGGGAGGGCUGGUGUUUUUGGUCCGUGCCAUCCUGGACUAGCGUGGUCGGUUGGGGGGUCUCCAGUACCUCGCGGAUUGGGAGGGGUACGGUCUAGAGGAGCGGUGCUGGGUUCCGGCGAGGGACGACAUCGAUCCCUCCUAGCUCUGAGAUUUCCACCGUCGGCGUCUGGAGAGCCCUGCGCCACGCCCUGUCGUCCAUGGUGGCGGUCGACGUCACCGGCCUUCUAGCUGCCACCGUCCCUGAUCUCAUUCAUUAUCCAUUCCUGGUCUGGGUUUUGCUUUGUCCCCAUCUACACACCUAGUUACCAUUAGUCGUUAUAUGUGUGUAUAUAGUUUCCUUUGAGUCCCCUCUCAUUGUUCGUUGUUGUUCCCUGUUUUGUGUUUGCCAUUUUACUGUCUGCUGUGUUACUCUUUAUUGAGUUGUCCUGAGUUGGAUUAUUGCUGUAUUCAGUUUACUCUUGAUGGGACUCAUGCCUAAGUGCCCUUUUCUGUACAAUAAAUCAUGGAAUUGAG